RNAcentral lists this ribosomal RNA (253 nucleotides) under uncultured bacterium. Its description in RNAcentral is "partial 16S ribosomal RNA". It matches the Rfam family "Bacterial small subunit ribosomal RNA", at positions 524 to 776 of the family's 1533-position model. The record is from RNAcentral.
UACGUAGGGGGCGAGCGUUGUCCGAAGUUACUGGGCGUAAAGCGCACGUAGGCGGCUUUGCAAGUUAGAGGUGAAAGCCCGGGGCUCAACUCCGGAAUUGCCUUUAAAACUGCAUCGCUAGAAUUGUGGAGAGGUAAGUGGAAUUCCGAGUGUAGAGGUGAAAUUCGUAGAUAUUCGGAAGAACACCAGUGGCGAAGGCGACUUACUGGACACAUAUUGACGCUGAGGUGCGAAAGCGUGGGGAGCAAACAGG